Pan paniscus (pygmy chimpanzee) is the source of this 132-nucleotide small nucleolar RNA. The record is from Ensembl. NCBI's taxonomy places the organism in Eukaryota, Metazoa, Chordata, Mammalia, Primates, Hominidae.
GGCUUCCUAGUACUUACCAUGGUCUGUGUUCUUACGCUGACUGUAUAGAAACAGGAGGCAGAGUAAACCGACCCCACAUAUACCUCAGCCCUGGCCCUGUGCUGCAUCUGUAUUGUGAAUCAGGAGACAUGG